RNAcentral lists this transfer RNA (83 nucleotides) under Microcaldota archaeon. Its description in RNAcentral is "Candidatus Micrarchaeota archaeon (hot springs metagenome) tRNA-Leu". The record is from RNAcentral. Lineage: Archaea; Nanobdellati; Microcaldota.
GCGGGGGUGCCGGAGCCUGGAAAACGGGCAGGGCUUAGGACCCUGUGUCUUAGGACUACGCGAGUUCAAUGGCCUUUCUUCCU